RNAcentral lists this ribosomal RNA (252 nucleotides) under uncultured bacterium. Its description in RNAcentral is "partial 16S ribosomal RNA". It matches the Rfam family "Bacterial small subunit ribosomal RNA", at positions 524 to 776 of the family's 1533-position model. The record is from RNAcentral.
UACGGAGGGGCUAGCGUUGUUCGGAAUUACUGGGCGUAAAGCGCGUGUAGGCGGGUCUUUAAGUCAGGGGUGAAAUGCCAAGGCUCAACCUUGGAACUGCCUUUGAUACUGGAGAUCUUGAGUCCGGGAGAGGUGAGUGGAAUUGCGAGUGUAGAGGUGAAAUUCGUAGAUAUUCGCAAGAACACCAGUGGCGAAGGCGGCUCACUGGCCCGGAACUGACGCUGAGACGCGAAAGCGUGGGGAGCAAACAGG